CUUUCCCUGCGGUGUACGAGUGACGCAGAAGCUUUUCACCUUAAUACGUACCCGGGAGUCCGACAUUUGCAUAGCCUACGGCACGCCCUCACGAGGGGAAGUCGGAUGGCUAUCGUGAGGAUACCCACCUGGAGACACAGGUACAUAAAGCUUCUCGUUCAACGGCACAGGCGGGGUUUGU
This 181-nucleotide non-coding RNA is filed under the name Candidatus Hydrogenedentota bacterium. Its description in RNAcentral is "6S RNA". It matches the Rfam family "6S / SsrS RNA". Rfam says of the family: E. coli 6S RNA was the first non coding RNA to be sequenced, but its function was unknown until recently. It consists of 184 nucleotides that fold into an extended hairpin structure with a large single-stranded internal bulge. The 6S RNA specifically associates with RNA polymerase holoenzyme containing the sigma70 specificity factor. Lineage: Bacteria; Pseudomonadati; Candidatus Hydrogenedentota. The record is from RNAcentral.